This 462-nucleotide ribosomal RNA is filed under the name bacterium FB2006. RNAcentral's name for it is "bacterial SSU rRNA". It matches the Rfam family "Bacterial small subunit ribosomal RNA", at positions 28 to 459 of the family's 1533-position model. The record is from RNAcentral.
GAUAAACGCUGGCGGCGUGCUUAACACAUGCAAGUCGAACGGAGUACUUCUCCCGAGACCGAGGAAGCUUGCUUCCAAAGAAUCAUUUGAAGUACUUAGUGGCGGACGGGUGAGUAACGCGUGGGUAACCUGCCUCACACAGGGGGAUAACAGUUGGAAACGACUGUUAAUACCGCAUAAGCGCACAGUAUCGCAUGAUACAGUGUGAAAAACUCCGGUGGUGUGAGAUGGACCCGCGUCUGAUUAGCUAGUUGGUGAGGUAACGGCCCACCAAGGCGACGAUCAGUAGCCGGCCUGAGAGGGUGUACGGCCACAUUGGGACUGAGACACGGCCCAAACUCCUACGGGAGGCAGCAGUGGGGAAUAUUGCACAAUGGGGGAAACCCUGAUGCAGCGACGCCGCGUGAGUGAUGAAGUAUCUCGGUAUGUAAAGCUCUAUCAGCAGGGAAGAUAAUGACGUAC